AGCAGCCGCGGUAAUUCCAGCUCCAAUAGCGUAUAUUAAAGUUGUUGCAGUCAAAAAAGCUCGUAGUUGAAUUUUAGGCCUGGCCGGACGGUCCGUCUCUGGCGAGUACUGUUCUGUCGUCGGGUCUAUCCUUCUGGUGAGCCGGUAUGUUCUUAAUUGGGCGUGUCGGGGAACCAGGACCAUUACCUUGAAAAAUUAGAGUGUUUAAAGCAGGCUUUUGCUUGAAUAGAUUAGCAUGGAAUAAUAGAAUAGGACGUUGUGGUUCUAUUUUGUUGGUUCUAGGACCACCGUAAUGAUUAAUAGGGAUAGUUGGGGGCAUUAGUAUUCAAUUGUCAGAGGUGAAAUUCUUGGAUUUAUUGAAGACUAACUACUGCGAAAGCAUUUGCCAAGGAUGUUUUCAUUAAUCUAAGAACGAAAGUUAGGGGAUCGAAGACGAUCAGAUACCGUCGU
This 450-nucleotide ribosomal RNA is filed under the name uncultured Archaeospora. Its description in RNAcentral is "SSU rRNA". It matches the Rfam family "Eukaryotic small subunit ribosomal RNA", at positions 569 to 1021 of the family's 1831-position model. The record is from RNAcentral. Lineage: Eukaryota; Fungi; Glomeromycota; Glomeromycetes; Archaeosporales; Archaeosporaceae.